AUGACAAUCAACAAGGCACAAGGGCAAACUAUUCCUAACAUCGGCGUGUAUCUACCUGAUCCGGUGUUCUGUCACGGUCAGUUGUAUGUGGCGCUUUCUAGAGCAACAGCAAGAAGAAACAUCAAGAUACUCGCUGUCAUGGAGAGACAAGGGCGGGCAGUGCAAGUCUACUAG
RNAcentral lists this ribosomal RNA (174 nucleotides) under Triticum aestivum (bread wheat). RNAcentral's name for it is "partial small subunit ribosomal RNA". The record is from RNAcentral. Lineage: Eukaryota; Viridiplantae; Streptophyta; Magnoliopsida; Poales; Poaceae.